Molecule: ribosomal RNA, 394 nt
Filed under: uncultured bacterium
Lineage: Bacteria
Description: bacterial SSU rRNA
Rfam family: Bacterial small subunit ribosomal RNA
Source: RNAcentral
UGCUACUGGCUUCGGCCAAGCACUCUGAUGGGACUGCCCGGGAAACCGGGAGGAAGGUGGGGAUGACGUCAAGUCAUCAUGGUCCUUAUGUCCAGGGCUACACACGUGUUACAAUGGCCAAUACAAAGGGAAGCGAUACCGUAAGGUGGAGCAAACCCCAUCAAAGUUGGUCUAAGUUCGGAUUGAGGUCUGCAAUUUGACCUCAUGAAGCUGAAAUCGCUAGUAAUCGCGCAUCAUAACGGCGCGGUGAAUACGUUCUCGGACCUUGUACACACCGCCCGUCACAUCAUGAAAGCUGUUUGCACCCAAAGUCGUCUUAGCCAACCCGUAAGGGAGGCGGACGCCCAAGGUGUGGAUGGUGAUUGGGAUGAAGUCGUAACAAGGUAGCCAAUCG